RNAcentral lists this ribosomal RNA (512 nucleotides) under uncultured bacterium. RNAcentral's name for it is "partial 16S ribosomal RNA". It matches the Rfam family "Bacterial small subunit ribosomal RNA", at positions 28 to 523 of the family's 1533-position model. The record is from RNAcentral.
GACGAACGCUGGCGGCGUGCCUAAUGCAUGCAAGUCGAGCGAAUCAAUAGGAGCUUGCUCCUGUUGGUUAGCGGCGGACGGGUGAGUAACACGUGGGCAACCUGCCUGUAAGACUGGGAUAACAUCGGGAAACCGAUGCUAAUACCGGAUAAUUCAUUCCCUCUCAUGAGGGAAUGUUGAAAGUCGGUUUCGGCUGACACUUACAGAUGGGCCCGCGGCGCAUUAGCUAGUUGGUGAGGUAACGGCUCACCAAGGCGACGAUGCGUAGCCGACCUGAGAGGGUGAUCGGCCACACUGGGACUGAGACACGGCCCAGACUCCUACGGGAGGCAGCAGUAGGGAAUCUUCCACAAUGGACGAAAGUCUGAUGGAGCAACGCCGCGUGAGCGAUGAAGGCCUUCGGGUCGUAAAGCUCUGUUGUUAGGGAAGAACAUGUACCGGAGUAACUGCCGGUACCUUGACGGUACCUAACCAGAAAGCCACGGCUAACUACGUGCCAGCCGCCGCUGUAA